RNA transcript from Epinephelus moara (kelp grouper), 2521 nucleotides. It is a transcript of the gene named gastrula zinc finger protein XlCGF57.1-like, with no coding region annotated. The record is from RefSeq and is a predicted model, not a curated record. NCBI's taxonomy places the organism in Eukaryota, Metazoa, Chordata, Actinopteri, Perciformes, Serranidae. The transcript is spliced from 4 exons.
GCGGAAGUAAAUAAGACAAAGGCGCUACUCGCGUUUCCCAAAUGACUGAGUUCACUUCGGGAGGUUAAUCUAUGAGUUAAACCUCGAGCCACAUUUACUGUAGCCUACAUUAGACAACAAUGUGUUCAGUUGAGUCUUUGAGAGAGUUUGUCAACGAGCGACUAACUGCUGCUGCUGAAGAAAUAUUGGGAGUUUUUAAAAGAAGCAUCGUCGAGUACGAGGAAGAGAUCGAUCGUCAGCGCAGACUGUUGGAUAUCGUUUUGAAGCCUGAAAUAAAGUUACACAGGACAGAGCUCCCACAGCAACAUGUGUGUAAGGAGGAGGAGGUUGUCCCUGAGCAGCAGCUCUGUAUUGAGGAGAGGAAGUCCAGUGUGGACCAAGAGGAGCCAGAGCCUCCACAGAUUAAAGAGGAAGAGGAGGAAGUGUGCAGCAGUCAGGAGGGAGAGCAGCUUGUAGUGAAGCAGGAGACUGAUGGCUUUAUGUUGACUCCUGCUGAUGAGGAAAGUGAGCACAGUGAAGAUCAGACUCUGGACUUCAUUCAUGAUGACACUCAAAGUGCAGCAGAGAAAGAGUCUGUUGUCAUUAUACCAGUUAUAAGCUCUGUGAUAUCAGAAGCAACCAGUGAGCACCAGCUGCUCUGUCACAACUCUCAUGUAGCUGAGAGCCAAGAUGAGGAAGAAUACCAGCAUGGAGACUCAGGAUCAACUAGAAACACAGAGCUUCAAGCAGAGAAAAGACAUCAUGAAAGUGAAAUGAACAGUAACAGUCCACACACCUCUGCUGUGAUAAACUUAAAUACAGGUAAAAAGCCUUUAAAAUGUGACGUAUGUGGGAAAGGUUUUGUGUACAAGUCAAGAUUGCAGAGACACCUGAACAGCCACACAGGUGAGAAGCCGUACCUUUGCAAGACCUGCGGGAAAAAAUUCAGCGAGAAGUCAGAAUUGAAAAGACAUUGUAGAAUCCACACAGGUGAGAAGCCGUAUACUUGUAAAACAUGUGGGAAAAGAUGCAGUCAGAAGUCAGGAUUGAACGCUCAUAUAAGAACCCACACAGGUGAGAGGCCGUACCUUUGCAAGACCUGCGGGAAAAGAUUCAGUGUGAAGUCAGCAUUGAACACUCAUAUAAGAACCCACACAGGUGAGACGCCGUUUUCUUGCAAAACAUGUGGGAAAAGAUUCAUUCAGAAGGCAGGAUUGAACGCUCAUAUAAGAACCCACACAGGUGAGAAGCCCUACCUUUGCAAGACCUGCGGGAAAAGAUUCAGUGUGAAGUCAGCAUUGAACACUCAUAUAAGAACCCACACAGGUGAGACGCCGUUUUCUUGCAAAACAUGUGGGAAAAGAUUUAUUCAGAAGUCAGGAUUGAACACUCAUAUAAGAACCCACACAGGUGAGACGCCGUUUUCUUGCAAAACAUGUGGGAAAAGAUUCAUUCAGAAGUCAGGAUUGAACGCUCAUAUAAGAACCCACACAGGUGAGAAGCCCUACCUUUGCAAGACCUGCGGGAAAAGAUUCAGUCAGACGUCAGGAUUGGAAAGUCACAGGACAAUCCACACAGGUGAGAGACCGUAUACUUGUAAAGUAUGUGGGAGAGCUUUCGGACGUAAUUGUUAUUUGUUAGCCCACAUGAGGACUCAUUCAGGGGAGAAGCAGUAUACUUGUGAAGUAUGUGGGAGAGGUUUCGGAUGUAAUGGUCACUUGUUAGUCCACAUGAGGAUUCACACAGGGGAGAAGCCGUAUCCUUGUAAAACAUGUGGGAAACACUUCAGAGCUAUCGGUAACUUGACAGUCCACAUGAGAACGCACACAGGUGUAAAGGUGCAUCAGCUGAGCACAGAGGUUCCAGUUGAAGUCACACAUAUACAGGAGAGAGACUGUUUACAUGCAAAACAUGUGGCAGAGCUUUCAGAGGCCUGUUCCAUAAAGCAUGCUAAGAAAAGUGGGGAGUGAAGUCCAAAUCCUGAAUUUUAAUUGAAAUUGCAGGUCUGGAAAAGUUAAACUAGUGAGAUAAAGAACAAAAGGAGGAGACUGCUUUAAAGUCUGAAUGAAUUUUAUACUUGCAAGAGUCAUGGAAAACCUGGAAAAGUCAUGAAAUUAGUCAAAAUCAUUAUAAGUCACAGAACUUGUUUGUGUAUAGUGAAAUUAUUAGAAUCAUCUUCAGUGGAUAACCCUCCAUAUAAUGUAACAUAAUGGCAAAUUCAUUUUCUGCAGCUGGCGUCUUAAUGUAGCUUUAAUAUGCGUCGAUGUGUGACAAUGUUUGUUUACCAUCAGGUGUGUUUUGUCAUGUUCUCCCUCAGUUUGUCUCUCCCUUCCUGUGUGCCAAUUAUGUUUACAUAGAGUUUGAAUCUGAUGUUUGAAAAACGCCGGGCAAGUGGGGAAAGAAAAAGAAAAUUCUUCAUUAUGAGUCCUUGAAAAGUCAUGAAAAAGUUUGGAAAUAUUGUCCAUGAAAAUGUGAGCGGAACCUGUGAUUAAAAGUAUGACUGAUUUUGCAGUGAGCACAGUAAUAAACUGAUCCCAGAAGA